GACGAACGCUGGCGGCGUGCUUAACACAUGCAAGUCGAACGGAAAGGCCCUGCUUUUUUGGGGUGCUCGAGUGGCGAACGGGUGAGUAACACGUGAGUAACCUGCCCUUGACUUUGGGAUAACUUCAGGAAACUGGGGCUAAUACCGGAUAGGAGCUCCUGCUGCAUUGUGGGGGUUGGAAAGUUUCGGCGGUUGGGGAUGGACGCGCGGCUGAUCAGCUUGUUGGUGGGGGAGUGGCUUACCAAGGCUUUGACGGGUAGCCGGCCUGAGAGGGUGACCGGCUACAUUGGCACUGAGGUACGACCCGGACUCAUACGGGAGGCAGGAGUGGAGAAUAGUGCCCACUGGGCGGAGGCCUGAUGCAGCAACGUCGCGUGGGGGAUGACGGCUUUCGGGUUGUAAACCGCUUUCGCCUGUGACGCAGCGUGAGUGAGGGUAACGAGUAAAGAAGCACGGGCUAACUACGU
This 467-nucleotide ribosomal RNA is filed under the name uncultured bacterium. RNAcentral describes it as "partial 16S ribosomal RNA". It matches the Rfam family "Bacterial small subunit ribosomal RNA", at positions 28 to 506 of the family's 1533-position model. The record is from RNAcentral.